This is a long non-coding RNA of Lepisosteus oculatus (spotted gar), 464 nucleotides long. RefSeq lists it as uncharacterized. NCBI's taxonomy places the organism in Eukaryota, Metazoa, Chordata, Actinopteri, Semionotiformes, Lepisosteidae. The record is from RefSeq and is a predicted model, not a curated record.
UGUAGGAAAGAAAGCUAACUAUAGUUAGAAGGCUGGAUUUAUUGACUGUAGCUUUACCAGUCUUCCAUCCAGUAAUGGCAUAAAUUUGAUGACGCAGUUAGAUAUUUUGUUUGCAAAACUGACCAUGUUUGUCUUCCCACAUCCUGGGUUACAUUCUUUCAUUCACACAAAGUUUAAGAGCUGGAUUGACCAUCAUAAUCGCCCAGUAUGGACCUGGUUGAAAACAUGUGGGACAAACUGGCCCCUAAUGAUCAACGGUAACCUAUUGAAUCGCAAGCCACUAUGGACCUGUUGCUGGGUCUGAACCCUCAUUGGACAGCUCUCCCACAAGACCUUGUGCGAUGUCUGUGUUGGUGGAGGCCUUGUAGAUUUCAGAUUCCUGUCAGGAGGAUCCCAAGACAUCAGAAAUGACCAAGAAGAAGACCUCCGGUAAAAGCGAGUCUGACGAGGACAGCUGAAGGCAG